This 497-nucleotide ribosomal RNA is filed under the name uncultured bacterium. RNAcentral describes it as "partial 16S ribosomal RNA". It matches the Rfam family "Bacterial small subunit ribosomal RNA", at positions 28 to 507 of the family's 1533-position model. The record is from RNAcentral.
GAUGAACGCUGGCGGCGUGCCUAAUACAUGCAAGUCGAGCGAACAGAUGAGGAGCUUGCUCCUCUGACGUUAGCGGCGGACGGGUGAGUAACACGUGGAUAACCUACCUAUAAGACUGGGAUAACUUCGGGAAACCGGAGCUAAUACCGGAUAAUAUAUUGAACCGCAUGGUUCAAUAGUGAAAGACGGUUUUGCUGUCACUUAUAGAUGGAUCCGCGCCGCAUUAGCUAGUUGGUAAGGUAACGGCUUACCAAGGCAACGAUGCGUAGCCGACCUGAGAGGGUGAUCGGCCACACUGGAACUGAGACACGGUCCAGACUCCGAAGGGAGGCAGCAGUAGGGAAUCUUCCGCAAUGGGCGAAAGCCUGAAGGAGCAAAGCCGCGUGAGUGAUGAAGGUCUUCGGAUCGUAAAACUCUGUUAUUAGGGAAGAACAAAUGUGGAAGUAACUAUGCACGUCUUGACGGUACCUAAUCAGAAAGCCACGGCUAACUACGUG